UAAUCGAGAGGUGAGAUUGGAUGGUUUUA
RNAcentral lists this non-coding RNA (29 nucleotides) under Homo sapiens (human). The record is from RNAcentral. Lineage: Eukaryota; Metazoa; Chordata; Mammalia; Primates; Hominidae.